GACGAACGCUGGCGGCGUGCUUAACACAUGCAAGUCGAACGGUGAGGCGCCUUCCUUUUUGGUGGGUGUGGAUGAGUGGCGAAGGGGUUAGUAACAGGAUAGUAACCUUCUACCUCUUUCUGGAUAACCGCAUGCAAGUGCGGCUAACACGGGAUAUUCUGGGUCUGUCGCAUCAUUGGUGUGGGAAGGAUUUUGUUUCGGUGGGGGAUGGGCUCGCGCCGUAUCAGCUUGUUGGUGUGGUGACGGCCUACCAAGGCGGUGAGGGGUAGCCGGCCUGAGAGGGUGGACGGCCACAGUGGGGAUGAGACACCGCGCAGACUCCUGGGGGAGGCAGCAGGGGAGAAUAUUGCAUAGUGGGCGGCAGGCUGAUGCAGCGCCGCCGGGUGGGGGAUGGUGGCCUGAGGGUUGUGAACCGCUUUCGCGAGUGAAGAAGGGCUGCCGUGUUUGUGCGUGGGUUGACGGUAGCUGGAUAAGAAGCGCCGGCUAACUACGUG
This 494-nucleotide ribosomal RNA is filed under the name uncultured bacterium. Its description in RNAcentral is "partial 16S ribosomal RNA". It matches the Rfam family "Bacterial small subunit ribosomal RNA", at positions 28 to 507 of the family's 1533-position model. The record is from RNAcentral.